Molecule: long non-coding RNA, 2396 nt
Organism: Gallus gallus (chicken)
Lineage: Eukaryota; Metazoa; Chordata; Aves; Galliformes; Phasianidae
Gene: MIR155HG
Product: MIR155 host gene
Exons: 2
Source: RefSeq, marked validated
UUUCUUCACCUAACUCGUGCUGCAGGGAUAUCGGGCGACCAGCCAGACCAGCAGACCUCUGCGGCAACUGCUGAUGCCUCAAUGGCUUUUUUUUUUCAUUUUUGUUUGCCUUAUUUCUCUCUCUUUCUCUCUCAGAAAAAAAAAAAAAAAAAAAAAUACAGCCCAGGCUAAGUGAUCAUGGUUAACAUGUGAGAUGGAACAAAGGAAGUCUGUGGCCUUCUUGCUGCAUUGGUUUUGCUUGCAUCUCUGUGUAAAGAAACUGCCUCGUAGCAGGUAUCUCAAGGGGGAAAAAAAACAGAGGUUUCAGUUCUGUAUGUCUCAGACUCCAGUCUCUAGAGUUCUUCUGUAGGCUGUAUGUUGUUAAUGCUAAUCGUGAUAGGGGUUUUUACCUCUGAAUGACUCCUACAUGUUAGCAUUAACACUGUACCAUGCCUCUCAUCAGAACUCACAAGGAACAAACUGCUGCUGUGGGAGGAGGACAGAAAUCAUGAAUCAGUCAAUGCCACGCUGAGAAGACCUCCAUGUGACAUGUAAAAAGAUGGCUUGUUCUGCAAACAGACGCACUUGGUAGAAUGUGGUCUAAGUUAAGGGCACUGGGAAAAAGCAGCUUCAUGUAUCAGUAAAUCCUUAGUAGGACAUAGAAUCUGUAAUAUUCUUAGCUCAGCAACUUGGUUGUCUUCUUUUUUUCUAACUGCUUUUCAGGUCUUCUGGCUUUACUUCUUGCGUAAAUGUUUCAUUACAUUAUUUCAUUUAAGAAAGUGAUUAAUUAAAAUUUUGGCAUGCAUAAGUGUGCAUUCUUUUCUAUAAUUUCAUUAUAUUUAAGACAAAAACUAACAAAAAAAUGCUUCUCUGAGAUUGUAACUUUAGUUAACACAUUUAUCGUUAAGAGAAAAUGAAAAUAUAUUAAUUUUACUCUGAAAUUAGAGUACUUUCCAAAAUUUUACAAAAAUCUCAGGAUAUUCCCAAGAGAUAGGUAAAUACUGUUAUAACUGUUUUGUGGAAGGUCAAAAUAGAUAGAUAGUAAAUACUCAUAAAAAUUGAGACAGCGAGGCUUUGAAAUAUUUGAUCUUACGCUCUAAUUAAAACUGCUUAAUGAGUAGUCAUGGGCGAACAUAAGGAGAAAAUAAAGACCCAAAGGAUAGAUUAUUAAGUAAGAAAAGAAACAAGGUCAACGUCUGUGCUCUUCCAAUAUGUAUAUCCUGUCUACAGUGUUUUGACUGUGAACCCCCAGAGCACCUUGGUUACAGAGCACCUUGAGACCACAAACACUUAUGAAUCAAUGGCCUCAUCUAUAAAACAGUCUCACAUAUCAACAGUCUCACUGAAUACCACUUUUCCACUCAGGUAGGACUGCUGCAGGGCAUGACUCUUCCAAAACAGGUUGUGAGAUCAGAAGCUCCACUGGGAACAUAAGCAAUAAGAGGUUGUGCCCACCUGAACACAAGAGCCAGCUCACUCCUUCCAAAGUCAGAGCCAAAAAAUAAAAAAAAACAUAUUUCUAUUAAUUUCACUGGAUAAUUAACUCUGAAAGUGGGAAGGAAAUUAUGGUGGGAGAGAAGAGUCAAUGGAAAUUCUCAUUUUUUUGAGCCUAGGGUGAAAUGGCACAGCACAGCCUGAUUCCACUGCCAACUUGAGGCAAAGUUUGGAGGUAUCAGUUCUCUUUGUGAAGUUGAGGUGGUCCUGAGACCCUAGAAGUGGGCAGCCAUUCCCAUGUUAGCAGCUCACUGCUGUUCUUCUUCUUGGCAGCACUGUUGCCAGAGGGCUGGCAGCAGGUCCCAAGCUGCCCUGGUACAGCUGCACUACAUGGUGGCAAAGAAGAGUCCUGGCUGAACCAUGGGCUUGGAAAGUCUCUUUUAACACAAAGACUUCUGUGAAAUGAAGAAAACUGAAGAUAUUAUUGAGUUUAUCUCUGUAAGCUAAAUUCUCACAUGGGUUGUACAGAUUAAAAAGGAGCAUUAAUUAAGUGAUGAUGUUUAUUAUAUACUCCCAAAAGGAAAAUAUUACUCGAUACACUCCUUGGAUCCUCACUCUAUUCAGUAAGUCUCAUUUACUGUGUGGCAUCAGUAAGGGAUUUUUGUCUCUUCUUCAGAGCCUUAAAGCAACAACGGAGCUCUGUACAUGGCAUACACUACUGACCUCAGUGAUCAUGAGUUGCAUGCUACUCAAAUAAUGACAUCCUCAUUUCACCCCAUCUAUUCACUCUCCAACCUGCAUUCCCCAUUUCUGUCCUAUAUACACUCAUGGCAAUAGAAGUUAUGCUUCCAAGGAAGAGAAUGGGUCUCGAUUCUCACUGUCAUGCUGUAAAAAUCAUAUGCAUGUUCUCAUACAUUUUCUCCCUUUAAAAUGUAAAUGAAAAGUGACUUGUGAACUUAAGAAAUAAAUAGCACAUAAAAAUA